GAUGAAGAACGCAGCGAAAUGCGAUACGUAAUGUGAAUUGCAGAAUUCAGUGAAUCAUCGAGUCUUUGAACGCACAUUGCGCCCCCUGGUAUUCCGGGGGGCAUGCCUGUCCGAGCGUCAUUGCUGCCCUCAAGCACGGCUUGUGUGUUGGGCCUCCGUCCUCCUCCCGGGGGACGGGCCCGAAAGGCAGCGGCGGCACCGCGUCCGGUCCUCGAGCGUAUGGGGCUUCGUCACCCGCUCUUGUAGGCCCGGCCGGCGCUUGCCGACACAUCAAUCUUUUUUCCAGGUUGACCUCGGAACAGGUAGGGAUACCCGCUGAACUUAAGCAUAUCAAUAAGCGGAGGA
Molecule: unclassified non-coding RNA, 345 nt
Filed under: soil metagenome
Description: partial contains 5.8S ribosomal RNA, internal transcribed spacer 2, and large subunit ribosomal RNA
Rfam family: 5.8S ribosomal RNA (bases 1-120)
Source: RNAcentral